This 497-nucleotide ribosomal RNA is filed under the name uncultured bacterium. RNAcentral describes it as "partial 16S ribosomal RNA". It matches the Rfam family "Bacterial small subunit ribosomal RNA", at positions 28 to 507 of the family's 1533-position model. The record is from RNAcentral.
GAUGAACGCUGGCGGCGUGCCUAAUACAUGCAAGUCGAGCGGCCAGGCAACGCGCUUGCUCCUCUCACGUUCGCAGCAGACGGGUGACUUACCCGUGGAUGACCUACCUCUGACACUGGGAUCACUUCGUGCAACCGGCGCUCCUCCCUGAUAAUCUCUUGACCCGCCUGGUUCAAUAGUCUAAGACGGUUUUGCUGUCUCUUAUCGAUGUAUCCGGGCCGCAUUAGCUAGUUGGUAAGGUAACGGCUUACCAAGGCAACGAUGCGUAGCCGACCUGAGAGGGUGAUCGGCCACACUGGAACUGAGACACGGUCCAGAGGCCUAGGGGAGGCAGCAGUAGGGAAUCUGCCGCAAUGGGCGAAAGCGUGACGGAGCAACGCCGCGUGAGUGAGGAAGGGAUGCGGAUCGUAAAACUCUGUUAUUAGGGAAGAACAAAUGUGUAAGUAACUAUGCACGUCUUGACGGUACCGAAUCAGAAAGCCACGGCUAACUACGUG